Molecule: ribosomal RNA, 497 nt
Filed under: uncultured bacterium
Lineage: Bacteria
Description: partial 16S ribosomal RNA
Rfam family: Bacterial small subunit ribosomal RNA
Source: RNAcentral
GACGAACGCUGGCGGCGUGCCUAAUACAUGCAAGUAGAACGCUGAGGAGAGGAGCUUGCUCUUCUUGGAUGAGUUGCGAACGGGUGAGUAACGCGUAGGUAACCUGCCUUGUAGCGGGGGAUAACUAUUGGAAACGAUAGCUAAUACCGCAUAACAAUGGAUGACACAUGUCAUUUAUUUGAAAGGGGCAAUUGCUCCACUACAAGAUGGACCUGCGUUGUAUUAGCUAGUAGGUGAGGUAAUGGCUCACCUAGGCGACGAUACAUAGCCGACCUGAGAGGGUGAUCGGCCACACUGGGACUGAGACACGGCCCAGACUCCUACGGGAGGCAGCAGUAGGGAAUCUUCGGCAAUGGGGGCAACCCUGACCGAGCAACGCCGCGUGAGUGAAGAAGGUUUUCGGAUCGGAAAGCUCUGUUGUAAGUCAAGAACGGGUGUGAGAGUGGAAAGUUCACACUGUGACGGUAGCUGACCAGAAAGGGACGGCUAACUACGUG